RNAcentral lists this unclassified non-coding RNA (276 nucleotides) under Hevea brasiliensis (rubber tree). The record is from RNAcentral. Lineage: Eukaryota; Viridiplantae; Streptophyta; Magnoliopsida; Malpighiales; Euphorbiaceae.
GUUUAGCAACUCUGGAGGAGGGUUUGAGGGGUUUGGAAGUGGUACGCCGGAGUGUAGAAGAGGCUUUGCUGAAGUUAGGAUUAGGUUUUGAGGGUGAAGUGAAGGGAGUGAAUGAAGAAGACGGCGGGUUUGAAGCUCUGGGAGGAGUGGCGGAGACGUGAGAUGCAUCGGAAUCAGAGUCUGAAUCGGAAUUCAUUGUUGUGUAGUGGCGUCGGAAAAUUGGAGGGAGAGCUCAGAGCAGGGGCUGAAGAACAGAAGAAGGGAAGAAGGUUUUCU